This is a long non-coding RNA of Hyaena hyaena (striped hyena), 444 nucleotides long. RefSeq lists it as uncharacterized. The transcript is spliced from 3 exons. The record is from RefSeq and is a predicted model, not a curated record. NCBI's taxonomy places the organism in Eukaryota, Metazoa, Chordata, Mammalia, Carnivora, Hyaenidae.
GCCUGUGACCAAGAGUGAGUCCCCAAGGGACCAAGGGGCCUCAUGAAUUGUGAUCUACGUGCCCCCUUGAAAAACAGGCAGCUGGCUGGCCUGGCCCAUCCUUCGACAUCGCUUUCUCUGUAAUCAAUGCAUUUCAGGGUGACAGAGGACCACAUGCUACCUGCAGCCUCCCAGACGACAACUCAGCAGCUGCCUCUAGACGGAUACAUCCUGUGCCUUCACAGCCCACAAACCAAAACACUUGCACCAAUCUAGUGAGGGACAAGUCACUGGAAAGAUGUUGAUUUGGAGCAGCAGCAGCAGCACAAACAGGUCCAAACUGGUCCCAAUUGCUUCCAAGAAGGACUUGGGUAAAUAAACUGUGAUGCACUGAUGCUAUGGAAAACUAUGCGGCUGCAAGAAGGAGUCUCAUAACUAAGUGUGCAGACAUGGAAAAAAAAAACA